ACGAACGCUGGCGGCAGGCCUAACACAUGCAAGUCGAGCGCGCCUUCGGGCGAGCGGCGGACGGGUUAGUAACGCGUGGGAACGUGCCCAGAUCUACGGAAUAGCCACUGGAAACGGUGAGUAAUACCGUAUACGCCCUUAGGGGGAAAGAUUUAUCGGAUUUGGAUCGGCCCGCGUUAGAUUAGGUAGUUGGUGGGUAACGGCCUACCAAGCCUACGAUCUAUAGCUGGUUUUAGAGGAUGAUCAGCAACACUGGGACUGAGACACGGCCCAGACUCCUACGGGAGGCAGCAGUGGGGAAUCUUGC
This 307-nucleotide ribosomal RNA is filed under the name uncultured Rhodobacterales bacterium. RNAcentral's name for it is "SSU rRNA". It matches the Rfam family "Bacterial small subunit ribosomal RNA", at positions 29 to 367 of the family's 1533-position model. The record is from RNAcentral. Lineage: Bacteria; Pseudomonadati; Pseudomonadota; Alphaproteobacteria; Rhodobacterales.